Leeuwenhoekiella marinoflava DSM 3653 is the source of this 333-nucleotide non-coding RNA. The record is from Rfam. Lineage: Bacteria; Pseudomonadati; Bacteroidota; Flavobacteriia; Flavobacteriales; Flavobacteriaceae.
GAAGCAGACCGCCUUAUCGCUUUCAGUAAAACUUUGUUUUAAAGGAAGAGGAAAGUCCGGACACCACAGGGAAGCAUAGCGGCUAACGGCCGUCGGUCUCGAUGAAAAUUGAGAUUAGGACCAGUGCAGCAGAAAGAAUGUACAGGUAAUGCUGUAGUGAAACCAGGUAAACUCUAUGCGGUGCAAUGUCAUGUAUACCGGCAAUUAAGUGCGUCUCGUGCGAUGCCGGAGGGUAGACAGAUUGAGCAAAUAAGUAAUUAUUUGUCUAGAUAAAUGAUAAGGUAUUACUGCUUGCAGUAAGAACAGAAUCCGGCUUACAGGUCUGCUUUUUUA